UACAGAGGGUGCAAGCGUUGUUCGGAAUCAUUGGGCGUAAAGAGCUCGUAGGCGGUCUGUCGCGUCUGCUGUGAAAACUCAGGGCUUAACCCUGAGCUUGCAGUGGGUACGGGCAGACUAGAGUGCGGUAGGGGAGACUGGAAUUCCUGGUGUAGCGGUGAAAUGCGCAGAUAUCAGGAGGAACACCGGUGGCGAAGGCGGGUCUCUGGGCCGUAACUGACGCUGAGGAGCGAAAGCAUGGGGAGCGAACAGG
RNAcentral lists this ribosomal RNA (253 nucleotides) under uncultured bacterium. Its description in RNAcentral is "partial 16S ribosomal RNA". It matches the Rfam family "Bacterial small subunit ribosomal RNA", at positions 524 to 776 of the family's 1533-position model. The record is from RNAcentral.